This 301-nucleotide ribosomal RNA is filed under the name uncultured bacterium. RNAcentral describes it as "bacterial SSU rRNA". It matches the Rfam family "Bacterial small subunit ribosomal RNA", at positions 775 to 1067 of the family's 1533-position model. The record is from RNAcentral.
GGAUUAGAUACCCUGGUAGUCCUAGCUGUAAACGAUGGGCACUGGGUAGAGGAGGCGUCGAUACCUUCUUUGCCGUAGCUAAUGUGUUAAGUGCCCCGCCUGGGGAGUACGGUCGCAAGGCUAAAACUCAAAGGAAUUGACGGGGGCUCACACAAGCGGUGGAGCAUGUGGUUUAAUUCGAAACAACGCGAAGAACCUUACCCGGGUUUGAAAUCCUUGGAUGCAGCCUGUGAAAGCAGGUGCGCUGCCCUUCGGGGUGAAACUUGGACAGGUGUUGCAUGGCUGUCGUCAGCUCGUGCCG